GCAUGGCUGAAUGCAUGUUCUUUUCACCAGUUUUUUACAUAGCCAGACAUCAUGCAAAAAAAAAAAAAAAAAAA
Molecule: small nucleolar RNA, 74 nt
Organism: Herpailurus yagouaroundi (jaguarundi)
Lineage: Eukaryota; Metazoa; Chordata; Mammalia; Carnivora; Felidae
Product: small nucleolar RNA SNORA15
Exons: 1
Source: RefSeq, a predicted model, not a curated record